Molecule: ribosomal RNA, 448 nt
Filed under: uncultured bacterium
Lineage: Bacteria
Description: bacterial SSU rRNA
Rfam family: Bacterial small subunit ribosomal RNA
Source: RNAcentral
AAUGAACGCUGGCGGCAUGCCUAACACAUGCAAGUCGAACGAGACCUUCGGGUCUAGUGGCGCACGGGUGCGUAACGCGUGGGAAUCUGCCCUUGGGUUCGGAAUAACAGUUAGAAAUGACUGCUAAUACCGAAUGAUGUCGUAAGACCAAAGAUUCAUCGCCCAGGGAUGAGCCCGCGUAGGAUUAGCUAGUUGGUGUGGUAAAAGCGCACCAAGGCGACGAUCCAGCUGGUCUGAGAGGAUGAUCAGCCACACUGGGACUGAGACACGGCCCAGACUCCUACGGGAGGCAGCAGUGGGGAAUAUUGGACAAUGGGCGAAAGCCUGAUCCAGCAAUGCCGCGUGAGUGAUGAAGGCCUUAGGGUUGUAAAGCUCUUUUACCCGGGAUGAUAAUGACAGUACCGGGAGAAUAAGCUCCGGCUAACUCCGUGCCAGCAGCCGCCGUAAU